GGAGGAGGGCCUCCCUGUUUUCUGAUUUGGGGCUCCUUUAGCCAGUGCUCUCCUGGACCAGCAAGGGUAUCUCAAAAGGAAUAGGAAAGACCAGGUGCCUCUUCCCACUGACCCACCUGCAUCAUCCCCAAGCAGCUCUGGAGCUAGACCGUUCAGAGGGGAGCAUGCCGCCCCACUCCAAAGACAACAUCUGCCUGACAGCCUGCCCGCAGCGCCGGUCCCAGUACUCCUGGACUAUCAGCUACUCUCUCCUAUCCCACAGAGAUAACAAGGUUGGCGAGAAGAAAGAGUUGUGUCAAGUCUCUCUGGUGGCUGUGUAUCCCUUGCUCUCCGUUCUUGAUGCCUACUCCAUGGGCAGUGCCGAGGGCAUCACCCGGAAGCACCUGUGGCGCCUCUUCUCCCUGGACAUGCUCAACAAUUACUUGGCACGUGACCCCACACCCGGGGAGCUCACCUACCGAGUGCCCACCCGGCACAGGUAAGCUGGGCCAGGGAAAGGGGGACAGGGACUACUGGGAAUGUUCGCGGAGCUACCUGCCCACAUCCCAGCACCUAUCUGAGAAGCUGCUUUUCAUCUUUUGGGAGAAGUGACCUCCAAAUUCUCACUCCUCCCUGGAGGGACCUGGAGAAGCAAGGAUUGUCUCAGGUCUGAAGAGCUAACUCAUCUUGAGUUCCACAUUCUCCAUUUCCCACCUGGGGAGAUGGGAGUGCCCAAGCCAGCCACCCCUGGGAGCCCUCCCUGUCCCAUCCCCAGUUCUGAGCUUGUUUCUCUGCUUCACACAGCACGAACCAGACCCCCCCUGUCUUCACCCCUUUGAAACUUGAUUUCAAUUUUGGGGUAGCACCGCUCAAGGCCCCACCCUCUGUGGUACUCCUGGACCUGAAGAACAUUGGGAUGGUACCCUUGGACUGGGCCUUCCUCUUUCCAAGUGACCAGCAGAUUGACUUGGAGCUAUGGGCAGAGCAAGUAGAUUUUGACAGCACUGAGCUCCACCAAAUGCGUGCAGAGGACAACUGCAUCUUCUCCAUCAGCCCCAAGACUGGGAGCCUGAGUCCUGGGGAGGAGCAGAUGGUGGAGUUAAAGUACAGUCACCUGUUUGUUGGCACUGAUCGCCUGCCAGUGCUCUUCAAGGUGUCACAUGGCAGGGAGAUCUUGUUAAAUUUCAUAGGCAUAACAGUGAAGCUGGAGCAGAAGUACGUGCUCUUCACCUCCACUAGCCACCAGUUCAUCCCUGUCCCCAUUGGCAACACGCUGCCCCCACGGCAGAUUUAUGAGCUGUACAAUGGUGGCUCAGUGCCUGUGACAUAUGAGGUCCAGACCAGCGUCCUGUCACAGGUUCAGGAAAAAAGUUUUGAUCACCCCAUCUUCUGCUGCAUCAACCCCAAAGGUGAGAUCCAGCCAGGUACCACUGCUCGUGUCUUGUGGAUCUUCUCACCCAUUGAGGCCAAGACUUAUACAGUGGACGUGCCCAUACACAUCCUGGGAUGGAAUUCAGCCCUUAUCCGCUUCCAGGGAGUAGGCUAUGACCCCUGCGUCAUGGGUGACACAGCGCCAUUCCACAGCAUCUCGUCAUGGGACAACAACUCCAUACACUGUAGGAUGAUGGUUCCUGGACAGGCUGUCUUCCUAUCCCAGUCUCAUAUAUCCCUGGGAAACAUCCCUGUUCAGAGCAAGUGUAGCCGCCUACUCUUCCUCAACAACAUCUCCAAGAAUGAGACAAUUGUCUUUUCCUGGCAGCCAAGGCCUCUAGAUUUUGGGGAGAUAUCUGUGAGACCCAUGAUAGGGGAACUGGCUCCUGAAGAGACAGCUCCAUUUGUGGUGACCCUGAAGACCUCAGUGCAUGCUAGCUUUUACAGUGUGGACCUGAUAUGCAAGGUGUACCGGCAGGAGCUCAUGAAGCAGUACCACAAGGAGCUCCAGGAGUGGACAGAUGAGAAGGUGCGACAGGAGGCAGAAUUUACCAUCACAGACAGGAAAGUAAAGAAGAGAGCAUAUUGUACUGCCUGUGAGCCCAUGAGGAGGUACAAGGUGAGGCAUGAGCCCAGGCCCAUCUUCUUGUGGUAA
Long non-coding RNA from Ictidomys tridecemlineatus (thirteen-lined ground squirrel), 2065 nucleotides. NCBI's taxonomy places the organism in Eukaryota, Metazoa, Chordata, Mammalia, Rodentia, Sciuridae. The record is from Ensembl.